This is a small nucleolar RNA of Podarcis muralis (Common wall lizard), 73 nucleotides long. NCBI's taxonomy places the organism in Eukaryota, Metazoa, Chordata, Lepidosauria, Squamata, Lacertidae. The record is from Ensembl.
GGUGCAGAGGAUGAUGAUUUAGCGACCAAAGCCUGAUUGGUUGUGAUUACAGCUUAAUAGUGACUGAUGCACC